RNAcentral lists this ribosomal RNA (449 nucleotides) under uncultured bacterium. RNAcentral's name for it is "bacterial SSU rRNA". It matches the Rfam family "Bacterial small subunit ribosomal RNA", at positions 29 to 507 of the family's 1533-position model. The record is from RNAcentral.
AGCGAACGCUGGCGGCAGGCCUAACACAUGCAAGUCGAACGAACCCUUCGGGGUUAGUGGCAAACGGGUGAGUAACACGUGGGAACCUGCCUCGAAGUGGGGGAUAACGAUUGGAAACGGUCGCUAAUACCGCACGGUUCUGCUCUGAUGGGAAUGGAGCAGAUAAAGAUUUAUCGCUUUGAGAGGGGCCCGCGGCCGAUUAGCUAGUUGGUAAGGUAAAGGCUUACCAAGGCGAUUAUCGGUAGCUGGUCUGAGAGGACGAUCAGCCACACGGGAACUGAGACACGGUCCCGACUCCGUACGGGGGGCAGCAGUGAGGAAUAUUGGGCAAUGGGCGAAAGCCUGACCCAGCAACGCCGCGUGGAGGAUGAAGGCUUUAGGGUUGUAAACUCCUUUUGUGGGGAAAAGAUGGAUCGGUACCCCAAGAAUAAGUCACGGCUAACUACGUG